Non-coding RNA from Erythranthe guttata (spotted monkey flower), 298 nucleotides. Lineage: Eukaryota; Viridiplantae; Streptophyta; Magnoliopsida; Lamiales; Phrymaceae. The record is from RefSeq and is a predicted model, not a curated record.
UAAAUAUGAAGAAUGAAGAUGCUGACGAAGAAAAUUGAUUAUUGCAAGAUCAACUCGUGACAAUACAAUUCUCAGAGUCGUAUGUGCUAUGUUUGCAGGUUUAUUGAUACAAAUGUAAAUUGUACAAUAAUAUAUUUUUAUCGAAGAUUAUCACUGACAAUACGAUGCAACGUGUAUGUUGUUUUAAUUUUGGAAGCAUGUAAGUUACUUAUAAUAUCCACGUGUAAAUGAAUGACAUUGUUUCUUUUGAUUGUAGAUGUAUAAUACUUCUAUCUUUAUUUAAGAUUUCUUUAUUUCA